Molecule: ribosomal RNA, 253 nt
Filed under: uncultured bacterium
Lineage: Bacteria
Description: partial 16S ribosomal RNA
Rfam family: Bacterial small subunit ribosomal RNA
Source: RNAcentral
UACGUAGGUGGCGAGCGUUGUCCGGAUUUACCGGGCGUAAAGGGAGCGUAGGCGGACUUUUAAGUGAGAUGUGAAAUACUCGGGCUCAACUUGAGUGCUGCAUUUCAAACUGGAAGUCUAGAGUGCAGGAGAGGAGAAUGGAAUUCCUAGUGUAGCGGUGAAAUGCGUAGAGAUUAGGAAGAACACCAGUGGCGAAGGCGAUUCUCUGGACUGUAACUGACGCUGAGGCUCGAAAGCGUGGGGAGCAAACAGG